This 649-nucleotide ribosomal RNA is filed under the name Russula sp. ue73. Its description in RNAcentral is "LSU rRNA". It matches the Rfam family "Eukaryotic large subunit ribosomal RNA", at positions 38 to 662 of the family's 3401-position model. Lineage: Eukaryota; Fungi; Basidiomycota; Agaricomycetes; Russulales; Russulaceae. The record is from RNAcentral.
GCAUAUCUAUAAGCGGAGGAAAAGAAACUAACAAGGAUUCCCCUAGUAACUGCGAGUGAAGCGGGAAAAGCUCAAAUUUAAAAUCUGGUGGUCUUUGGCCAUCCGAGUUGUAAUUUAGAGAAGCGUCUUCCGCGCUGGGCCGUGCACAAGUCUCCUGGAAUGGAGCGUCACAGAGGGUGAGAAUCCCGUCUUUGGCAUGGACACACCAGGGCUUUUGUGAUGCGCUCUCGAAGAGUCGAGUUGUUUGGGAAUGCAGCUCAAAAUGGGUGGUGAACUCCAUCUAAAGCUAAAUAUUGGCGAGAGACCGAUAGCGAACAAGUACCGUGAGGGAAAGAUGAAAAGCACUUUGGAAAGAGAGUGAAACAGUACGUGAAAUUGUUGAAAGGGAAACGCUUGAAGUCAGUCGCGUCGACCGAGACUCAGCCUUGCCUUGGCUUGGUGUACUUCUCGGCCGACGGGUCAGCAUCAAUUUUGCCCCUUGGAUAAUGAUGAGGGAAACGUGACACCUUUAUGGUGUGUUAUAGUCUCUUGUCGCAUGCAAGGGUCGGGAUUGAGGAACUCAGCACGCGCCUUUGGGUGUCGGGGCUUUGCCCACGAUACGUGCUUAGGAUGUUGGCGUAAUGGCUUUAAACGACCCGUCUUGAAACAC